RNAcentral lists this long non-coding RNA (22117 nucleotides) under Nicotiana tabacum (common tobacco). RNAcentral describes it as "long non-coding RNA (NTAB_LNC000642)". Lineage: Eukaryota; Viridiplantae; Streptophyta; Magnoliopsida; Solanales; Solanaceae. The record is from RNAcentral.
UUAAAUAAGUAAAAAUCUCAUAAAACUGGAUAAAACUGUCACGACUUGAUACAGAAGUUUUCCAAAACCAGUGUGUCACUGAGUACAUGAGCAUCUAUACGAAAACAAAGUCUGAUACACAUUCUAAGAUACAAGAAACUGAAUAAGUAAAACUGAGGGAUAGGGGAGGAGAGUGAAGGUCUGCGUACGCCAGGGCAGCUACCUCGAAAAAUCUCCGAGUGACUGUAAAUUCUGAGAAUCCGCAACCACCAUGUCAGGAAACACCUGGAUCUGCACAUAGAGUGUAGGGUGUAGCGUGAGUACAACCAACUUAGUAAGUAACAAGUCUAACUAUUGGGCUGAAAGCAGUAACGAGCUUCAUAAGUACCGUUCAAUUAUAGAAUUUCAGUACAGAAAUGUUGGCAUGCUUCCAUGUUUAACAGUUAAAGCUCAAAUUUGUAAGAUAUGUCAAGUUUAAUUGAAACAAGAUAUGGUACAUCUCGAUAUCUACAUGUCAGCUAUGUAUGCCAACUGUAGUACAAAACAGUGAUGAAACCAUAUGCAUACUCUCACAGUAUCAAUCAUUCAGACCUCAUAUUCACUCUAUCCUCACAGUCACUCGUUCCUCACAGUCACUCCAUCCUCACAGUCACUCAAUCCUCCAUAUCGCUCGGCACUCACACUCGCACUUAGUAAGUACCUGCGCUCACUAUAGGUGUGCACACUCCGGAGGGGCAAAUCCAGCCCAAGCGCUACAAUAAGCCAAUCAUGGCAUUAAUCAAUAAAACAUGUUAUCGUGUGCAGCCCGAUCCCAUAAAUAUCCUCACAAUCAGGCCCUCGGCCUCACUUAGUCAUCAAUCUCUCCAGUCUCUCGGGCUCACAAAAAUCAUGAUAAUCAGCCCAAACAAUGAUGAUAUGAUGUAUCAAUAAAUGGCAACAAACUAAGAUAUGAUAUGCAAAUAAUAGCUGUGACUGAGUGCAUAAUUGUAAUUUAAACAAAUAAUUCAACAUGCAACACGACUUAUGUGGGUCCCAGCAGUACCAGUAUGUAGCCUAAGCAUGAUUUCUAACAUGACUUGCAGCUCAAUUUCUCUAACACAGGGAGAAUAUACGGAUAACGACAAGAUUUUUCAACUAUACAGUUCCAUGGAAUUGACCAAGUCACAAUUCCUACGGUGCACGCCCACACGCCCGUCACCUAGCAGGUGCGUCACCUCAACACCAAUCACAUAACACGUAAUUCGAUGUUUAAUACCCUCAGAACUAAGUUUAGAAGUGUUACUUACCUCAAACCGUGCAAAUCACUACUCCAAUAAGCCCUUGCCUAGCGAAUCGACCUCCAAAUGUCUCGAAUCUAGCCACAAACAAUUUGAUACAAUCAACACGAGCUAAAGGAAUCCAUUUCGUAAGAAAAUACUAAGUUCUUAAUCAUAAGUCAAAAAGUCAACUCAAAAGUCGACCCCCGGACCACAUCUCGGAAUUCGAUAAAAGUUUCAAAAUCCGGAAGCCCAUUCAACCACGAGUCCAACCAUACCAAAUUUAUAAAAUUUCGAUACCAAAUCACCGCUCAAAUCCCCAAAUUAAACUCUCCAAAUCCCUAGCCUUAAAACCCCAAAAUUCCACCUAAAAACACAUAAACUAGGUGGGAAAUUCAAUGGGGAAAUAAUAUUAUUGAAUAAAAAUGAUCACAAGUGACUUACCUCAAGAAACCCUUCAAAUUCCCGCUCAAAAAUUGCCUUAAUCCGAGUUUGCAAAGUCAAGAAAUAAUAAAAACCUCGGAACCCAACGUUUAUAUUCUGUCCAGGGCUUUUCGCACUUGCGACAAACUUACCCACAUCUGCGGUGUCGCAGAAGCGACAAAUCCUCCGCUUUUGCGGUUCUCCCGGAGACUCAUGCUCCCGCACCUGUGCGACCUUUUUCGCAUAUGCGCUCUCACAGGUGCGGAUAUACCAUCGCACCUGCGCAAGUCCCCCAGCUGACCCAACUCGCGCUUUUGCGCCCAAUACGCCGCAUUAGCGACCACGCAAGUGCGGAAAAUAACCUCACACCUGCGACCACUUCCCACUUCCUUCCAGGCCACUUAUGUGAUGUCCACCAUGCAUAUGCGGCCUCACACCUGCGACCAUGACCUCCGCAAGUGCGAUUACACCAGUCCAGAACUCUUCAGCAUUUUCUCGAGUCCAAAAUUUGAUCCGUUAACCAUCCGAAACCAACCCGAGGCCCUCGAGACCUCAAUCAAACACACCGACAAGUCCUAAAGCACGAUACGAACUUAGACGAGCCCUCAAAUCACAUCAAAAACACGAAUCGCACCUCAAUUCAAGCCUAAUGAUAACUAGGAAUUCCAACUUCUAUAAUCGAUGCCGAAACUUAUCAAAUCAAGUCCGAUUGAGCUAAAAUUUUGCACACAAAUCAUAAAUGACACAAUGGACCUACUCCAACUCCCAGAACCAAAAUCCAAGCCUCGUAACCACGAAGUCAACUCUCAGUUAAACUUCUCAAUUUUCAAAACUUUUUAAUUUUCCAACUUUCGCUAUUUCAAGCCUAAAUCAAAUACGAACCUCCAAAUCAGUAUCCGGACUCACUCCUAAGUCCAAAAUCAUCCAACUGAGUUAUCGAAACUGUCAAAACUCUAUUUCGGAGCCAUUUACACAUAAGUCAACAUCCGGUCAACCUUUUCAACUUAAGCUUUCAACCAUGAGACUAAGUAUCUCAACUCAAUCCGAAAUAUCUCCGGAACCAAACCGACUAUCCCGUCAAGUCACAUAACACAAUUUAGCAUAGUAUAAGUAGUAAAUAGGGGGAACAGAGCUACAACAUUCAAAACGACCGACCGAGUCGUCCAAGACCAUAGUGUCAUGAAGCUUAAGUGUAGCAUUAAAACCCUUGGGAACCUGAGCCGGACCCAGUGGAACAACAUUAAUUGGAGCCUGCUACGCUACUGGAGCUACAAAGUUGGCUCCUCAGAAACUGAUUUAGCACGAGCACAACGAAUUACAGGUGCUUCAUCUCUCACAGGUGCAACCAUACGUGCUUUGGCUUGCCCUCUAACCUUGCCCCGACCCCUACCUCUCCCGGCUCUUGCCUAGGGUAUUGUCUCCUACUGAGCUGCUGUGAAAGAAUAUGUUCUCACCAUCUAUGAGAAAAUAAAAUAGCAAAGAUUCAAACUUUAGGAUGAAAUAAAGUCACACGAUAGAGAAGGAAUAAAGUGAAGUUUCCUAUUUGUCAUGUAGCCUCUCGAAGAUAAGCACAAACGUCUCCAUACCGAUCCACACGAUUCUACUAGAAAUACUCAAGGCUCGUAGAACCCAUGAUCCUAGAGCUCUGAUACAAACUUUGUCACGACCCAAAAUUCCACCAACAGUCAUGAUGGUACCGAAUGCCCAAUGCUAAGUAAGCCAAAAUGUAACAUAGAUCAAAACAAACAAAACAAGAUAUAAUAUAGUAGAAAUAACAUAAAUUGCGAAAUAAAUCUUUCAACAACGGGAUGUAUAAAGAUACUACAACACCAACUACUCAAAACCUGAUAGUACGGAGUCUUGAGCUCUAAAACAAAGUAUAAUGAAAUCUCUCACUAUACAAUACUGUUUGAAUAUAGAUAACAGUAUGAAAACAUGGGAAGAGGACUCCAAGGUUCUACGAAUGAUCAUGCAGCACUAUCUCGGGUCUCCACUGAUUGCUACUAGGCUCCCUCCUAAAGUUCACUACUGCCAAUGCUUGGAUUUGCACAAAAAUAUGCAAAAGUGUAGUAUGAGUAUGGGAAACUUAUACUCAGUAAGUAUCAAGACUAACCUCGAUGAAGUAGUGAUGAGUUUCAAGUCAUGUGAUACCUACUAAUGAAAUAAAUCUUUAUAGUUCAUAAUUAUUCACAACACUGUGAAAAGAGAUACAAUAUCGUCAAAGAUCAUAGCAAGAAAUAUCGACUCAACAUGGAUAAUUCUAUCUAGACUAACAAGUCAAAAUCACAUAAUAGAUGCAUCAAGUAGCAUGUUAGCAUUCAACAUAGAAAGCAUAGAAAAGGCAUGAAAAGGUAUAAGGGAUUAGAAAGCAUAGAAAAUGCAUGAAAACGCAUAAGGGAUUCACUUAAAUGGUCAAAGCGUCCACCUUUAUGCUCAAAACUCAUCACAUCGGAUCCCAUAUCACAAUCAACUAGAAACCUGUCAAUUUCUCACAAACUGCGUGUAUGCCAUCAAUAGCGAAACAUGAGAGGCGGAGACUUUAAAGGGCGGAUCCAUAUCCACACGCUGCACGGCAAUGACCUCAUGCCAUAGUAGUGACUAUGUCACCUCAACUACAUAUGAGAAACCCCAAGCAAGAAGAGUAAAAAUAUCACAAUGACCGCACGACAAAAACCUCGUGUCAUAGCCAAAUCAAUCCGCUCAACAUGUCCAAAUAUGCCAUAAUCAUAACAAUCUAAAAUAAUAGUUAAUCUUUAAAGAGGCAUAUGCUCAAAAAUAAUCAAUAAGAUGCACAAAAAUAUGAUAAAUAAAAGUGCAGAUGUGUGCUCAAGAUCUAAAGUAUGACUAUGGCUAAAUCAAGUAUAACAACAAUUUCACAAAUAGCUAAUCUUGGCCAAUUACAAAGUUGUAAUCCUAAAGAUGGAUACUAUAAUGAAAGGAAUAGCUCACGUAGGCAUACAAUUAAUUUGAACAUGAAUCAUAGAAGGCACACAACAAAACAAGGUAUAAUAAAACCCUAAUGAUUACAAUUGAGCAAGAAUCAUAUAUAGCACAUGUCCUGUAUGUAUGUUCAUCACCUCACAUAUACGUUGCUUCCCACAAAUUACAAUUGAGCAAACAAGGUCAUCUCCCAAUGAUUAGUCCCUCACAAUAAUGUUAGGCAAGAUACUUACCUUAGUGAGCCUAAUCAACCCUCCAAAAUCUCCUUUCCUAUAGCAAUCACCUCCACCUAGCUCGAAUCUAGCAAAAAAAUAACUUAAUAGAGUCAAAUAACGUCAUAGGAAUCAAUUCCAAAUAAUAGAGUUUUAAUUUUUAAUCAAUUUCAAAAAAGUCAACAAAAGUCAACCAGGGGCCACAUGGUCAAAACCUAAGUUAAGGGGUAGAACCUGAUCACCCAUAACCCCACGAGUUCAAAUAUAUGUUUGGUUUUUGAAACCAAGUCCGAAUCAUAGCUCAAAACCUCAAUAUUUACUCUCUUAAGCUAUAGGCAAAAACCCCAAAUUUUCAUAUUUUGGGUGUUAAUAAUCCAUGUAGAUUCUUGAAAUAUAAUGACAAAUGAGUAAAUAUCACUUACCCUUUAGUCUUGUAAAGCUCCUUAAACAAAUCGCUCCUCUUCAAGUCUAGGGUUCAACAUAUGAGAGAAUGGGCUAAAAUCCUAAAAUCCUCAUAUAAAUAUUGCCCUGGGGUACUCAUCGUGAAUGCUGCCUAAGCAUCGCAUUUGCGAAGCUCAAACCAGCCUCUCCAAAAAUUCCUCCUUCGUGAUCGUGGAAGCACCCCCAUGAUCGGGAAGCCUCGCUUGCUAUACCUUCGAGAAUGCGACAAUAGCCUCGUAAAUGUGAUGCCUUCCUACCCAAACUGCUCCACGAAUGCGACCACCCUCUUGUGAAUGCGAAGGCCUUCCCCCAGUUCCCAACUCCCCCAUCGCUAAUGCGACUGCCCCAUCGCAUACGCAAUGAAUAACUUCCCAGCUCCAAAAUAACCCUCUGCUAUCGCAAGACCUUCUCCGCGAUCGCGAAGCACAUUAGACACUAGAAAAAUCUGCAACUCUAAAAAUGCUUUGGGUGGUCUGAAACUCACCUAAGUCACGUGGGACCCCGUCCAAUCAUACCAUCAAGUCUGUAAAGACUACCCAGACCUAUCCAAGGCCUCCCCAACCACAUAUACAGAAUCAUUAAAUCUAAGAAUCAAAUAUUAAAUCACAAGUUGAAUUUAUCUUAAAUUCAAGCACGUCUAAUCAUCCAACCAAGCAUUUGAUUCAAGCCUAACCACUUUGGAUCUCAACCAAUCUUUGCAUAAAAGUUUCAUACGACAACACGAACAUAUCGAAAGUUGAGGUACAACAAUAAGAGUCUGGUAUCAUCAAAGUCAAUUAUCGGUCAAACUUAUAAACUCUUCAAUUCUUCAAAUUGUCAACUUUUGACAAAUAGAGUCAAAAUCUUGUAGGAACCUCCAAAUCAAAAUCUGAAUAUACACUUAAGUCCAUAAUCACCAUACGAACCUAUCAGAAUCCUCAACAUCCCAAUUCCAUGGUCUUUUAGUCAAAAAUCAAACCUUAUUCAACUCUUCCAACUUAAAACUUCUAAAAUAAAACCAAGUGUUACAAAUUACUCUCGAACCCCAUGAAAACCAAAUCACCCAUCCCCGCAAGUCAUAAAAUAUCAACACACAUACUAAAAAUAUUAAAUAGAGGAAUGGGGUUCUAAUACUCGAAAUGACUUGUUGGGUCAUUACAUUUAUAUACUUGUUGUGGUGUUUGGACUGGGGCUCGAGUGAGUUUUGGGGUGGUUUCCUACCAUUUUUGCACAAAUUGCCGUAGUUGUUAUGCUAUUGGAUCAUUGCGCAUCGCGAACGCGGAGCUAUCUUGUGUUCGCAUAGGGAGAUUUAGGAUUGGGGGAAAUUUACACUCCGCGAACAUGGAGGGCUGACCACGAACGCGAAGGCUCGGGGGAGUUUGCCCUCGUGAAUGUGAUCGCUCUUACGCGAACGCGUAGAAUUUUGGGGCUGGGUGGAUUUUCUUCAUCACGAACGUGAUAGUGGGGUCGUGAAUGCAGAGGCAAGGGGGGAAUGGCCUUCGUGAAAGCAAAGCAACUUGCACAAACACGAUGGUCAGUUCACCAUUAGCCUUCGCAAAAACGGGAGGUGCAUCGAAACGCGAAGAACACCUGAAACCAGGGUAAAAGUGCAAAACAUCAUGAUUUAGCCACUUUCAUUCUUGAGACCUAGGCUACGGAUGGAGGAGAUUUUUUGAGAGGAUUACCACCCCAACUUCUAAGGUUAGUAAUUUUGACUUAGUUUUGACUUAAUUCCAUGAUUUCUCGUAGAUUUUCACCCUUAAAUCUAGAAAUUUGAUGUGUAUGAAUUGGGGUUUUGGGAAAAUAUUUAAGAGAACUAAUUAUGGGGAUUUAGACCUCGAUUUGAGGUCUGAUUUGAUACAAACGACAUAUUUGGACUCGGGAAGAAUGGGUAAUCAAGAUUUGAUCUUGAUUUCGGACUUCGACCAAGUGGGCCCGGGUUAACAUUUUGUUGACCUUUUCAAUAUGAUAAAGGUUGAACUUUUUUAUAGUAGGAUAGUUUCUAAAGCGUUUUUGACUUAUUUGAGUAAUAUUUGGCUAGAUUCGAGUUGUUUGGAGGCUUGUGCUAAAGGGAUAGCGAUAUUUGAGGGUUGACUUGUUUUGGAAGGAGGUAAGUGUAUUGGUUAACCUUAAUUUGAGCGAAUUAGAUUCCAUUUGUGGUCUAUUUUCUACGUGCUAUAUGUGUUAGGGGCGACGUAUAUGCAUGGUAACGAGUGUAUAUGUAUUUGACAUGGUUAAAGCAUGCGGGUAGAUCUAACGUUAUUUAUGCCUUGUUUGCUUCAUGUAUUAUUUCUCAUAUGCUUUAGUUAGUUCGUGAAGUUACUUGUUUAUUCAUAUACAUGCUACUAACUAUAUUUAAGAUUUGUUGAGAUAUUUGGACAUUAUAGUUCUUGAAAUGUUGGUUCAUCUAUUGCUGCAACGGCCAUGAUUAUUUCUUACACGGCAUAUUAUGUUUAAUCACUCUCGUUAAUAUUAUUUAUGCUUCUCACCUUGCUUGGUAUUUAUUUACAUAUGCUUGGUGAGGAUGAGUGAUUAUGAAAGAAGGGAGUUUCCUUGCUGUGAGGAUGAGUGAUUAUGCACGAUGAGUAUUUACUUGCUAUGAGGUUGAGAUACAUUGUACGACAAGUCUUUCAAUGUUGUGAGGUUGAGAGAUAUUACAUGACGAGUAUUUUCGUGCCUUUAAGGAUGAGUGAUAUAUGCACAUGGAGUAUUUCCGUUCUAUUUUUUAUGAUAUUUCUACUCAUUUCUUUGUUUUUGUCGAUUUGUUGACUCGACUAUAUGUUAUUCUUUUGGAUUUGAGUUGUGGACACAGGUUUGGUUGUGAUAUUGGGAAGCAUGAUGGUUAUUCCCUUUAAUUACUCCUUUUACUAUUUCUCAUACUUACUCUUAUUAUUUCUCUGAUAAUUUAUCUUGUUAUGUUCUUAUUUGUUCUAUUGCUUAUUAACCACAUAGGUUUAUAAAGUAGGUGUUUUGUCUUAGCCUCGUCACUACCUCGUCGAGGUUAGCUCAACACUUACUGAGUACCUUGGGUCGGUUAUACUCAUACUAUACUUCUACACUUCUUGAGCAGAUUCAGGCAUUGAUACCAGCAGAGUCUUGAGAGGUGCUGAGUCGUUACCAGUCAGGAGAUUCGAGGUAGUGUUCCAUACUCGUUCGUAGGCCUUGAAAUCACCUAUCCAUUGUCUCUAUUACUAUUUAAUUGUAUUAGACAACAUUGUAUUCUUUUCAAACAUUAUAUUUAGUACUCAUUAGGUCUCAUGUACUCAAUGACACCAGUCUUGGGAGAUUGUUAUGUCAGAUGAUGGUUUUAGACUUAUUAUGUUGUUAUAGGAACUUUUACUCUUUAUCUAUGAUAAAAUGUUGCUAAAUGUUUAGUAUUGCUUCUUUAUUUACUGUUAUGUGUUGGCUUGCCUAGCACGUAAGGUUAAGCGCCAUCACGACCCUUCGGUUGGAAUUUUGGGUCGUGACACAAGGCCUGCAAACACAUUAAAACACUACAUCCAAGAAUCGAAGAUCAAACCACAAGUUGAACUUCUUUUAAGUUCAAGAACAUCUAAACUUCCAACCAAGUAUCUGAUUGAUGCCUAAAUACCUCGGAUCUCAACCAAAAUUUGUACACAAGUUUCAUUCAACCAAAUGAACCUAUUCAAAAGUCCCGGAACACCAAACGUAUUAAGAUAAAAUCAAAGUAAAUUAUCGAUCAAACCUAUGAAUUCUCCAUUUCGUCAAAUUACCAACUUACGAUAAAUAGAGUCAAAAAUCUUCUAGGAAUCUCCUAAACCAAGUCCGAACAUAUGCCCAAGUCCAAAAUUACCAUAUGAACUUAUUAGAAUCAUCAUAUCACCAAUCCGAGGUCAUUUAUUCAAAAGCCAAUCCUUGGUCAAUUCUUAUAACUUAAGCUUCCAAAAUAGAACAAAGUGUUCCAAUUCACUUUCACACCUUCCUGAAACCAAACCAAACCAACCAUCCCCACAAGUCAUAAAACAUUAAAUGAAACUAUGGAAAGCAUCAAAAUAGGGGAACGGGGCUCCAAUACUCUAAAUGGUCGGUAAGGUCGCUAUAUUCGACCACUCUUAAACAAACGCUUGUGAUCAAAUGGGUUUAGAAUCAUAUGUGUGAUCCAAAAUAUAUGAGGAUAUAUGCUCCACAUAUCAUGCUCGGUCUCCCAAGUUGCUACCUCGACCAGUUUACCUCUCCAUUGAACUUUCACUAAUGUAAUCUCUUUCUACCGCAGCUUCUGAACCUGCCUAUCCAUGAUGUCCUCUGGCUCUUCUUCAUAAGCUAGGUUCUCAUCCAACUACACUAAACUAAAAUCUAACACACGUGACAUGUCUUUAUGAUACUUCUGAAGUAUGAAAAUAUGGACUAUCAGAUGAACUCCCAACAAGCUGGGUGGCAAAGCAAGCUUGUAAGCCACCUCACCAACUCUCUCUAAAAUCUAAAAUUGACCAAUAUACCUAGAGCUCAACUUGAACUUCUUCCCGAAUAUCAUCACGCUUUUCUUAGAAGAAACCCUCAGAAGUACCUUCUCUCCCUCCAUGAAUUCUAUAUAACGAAUCUUUCUAUUAGCAUAACUCUUCCGCCUGGAUUGUGUUGUAUAAAGCCGCUCCUGAAUCAACUUCACCUUCUUCAAAGCAUGACGAACCAAAUCAAUACCCAACAACCUAGCCUCCCUAGGCUCAAACUAAUCAACUAGAUAACGACACCGUCUCUUAAAAAAUGCCUUAUACGGAGCCAUCUGGAUACUGGACUAGUAGCUGUUGUUGUAAGAAAACUCCGUGAAUGGUAGAAAAUGAUUCCAAUGGCCUCCAAAUAAUGCAGGCUCUCAACAUUUCCUCAAGGAUCCGAAUAAUCCGCUAUGACUGACCAUAAGUAUGUGGGUAAAAUAUAGUGCUAAGCUCCACCUGUAUGCCAAACUCUCGCUGAACAGCUCUCCAAAAAUACGAUGUGAACAAGUACCCCGAUCUAAAAUGAUAGAAACAGGCACACCAUGUAAAUGUACAAUCUCUCUAAUGUAGUCUGAGCCAACUUCUCGUAAGUGUAAGAAGACAUGACCGGAAUGAAAUAUGUAGACUUGGUCAACCUAUCCAUAAUGACCCAAAUAGCAUCAAACUUCCUCAAUGUCUGUGGCAAUCCUAUCACAAAAUCCAUAGUAAUGCACUCCCACUUCUACUCUGAUAUAUCUAACCUCUGAAGCAAACCACUUGGUCUCUGAUGCUCAUACUCGAUUGCUGACAAUUCAAACACCGUGAAACAUGUCCAAUAAUGUCUUUCUUUAUCCUUCACCACCAAUAAUGUUGCUUUAAAUCAUGAUACUUCUUCAUAUUACCUAGAUGAAUAGAAUAGCUCGAACUGUGAGCCUUUUCAAGAAUCAACUCCCUCAAAUUAUCCACAUUAGGAACACAAAUCCGACUAUGGAGUCGCAAUACACCAUCAUCACCAAUGACCACCUCCUUAGCAUCACCUCGCAACACCGUGCCCUUAGGGACAAAAAAAUAGGGAUUAUCAUACUAACGAGCCUUAAUGUGCUCAAACAAGGACGAUUGUGCAAUAACACAAAAAGAACUAUAUUAGGCUCGAAAAUAGCCAAUCUAACAAAUCCAUUGGCCAAAGCCUAAAUAUGCAUAGCAAAAGGCCUCUCCAAAACUAGAAUAAAUAGCAAACUCCAUAUACUCUCCAUCAUGCUACUCAAAGCAUCCGUUAUCAUAUUUGCCUUACCCGGAUGAUACAAUAUAGUGAUGUCAUAAUCCUUCAACAACUCCAACCACCUCCUCAAAUUCGAAUCCUUCUUCUUGAACAAAUUUUGAAGGAUUCGAUGAUCAGUGUAAAACUCACAUGACACAUCAUACAAGUAAUGCCUCAAAAUCUUAAGUGCAUGCAUAAUAGCUCCAAACUCCAAAUCGUGAAUUGGAUAAUUCUUCUCAUGGAGCUUCAACUGCCGUGGUGCAUAGGAAAUCACCUUACCAUCCAGCAUCAACAACGCACCAAGAACAACGAGCGAAGCAUCACAAUAUAUUUUGUAAGACCCUGGACUUGUGGGCAACACUAACAUUGGAGUUGUAGUCAAAGAAGUCUUAAGCUUCUAAAAGCUCCCCUCACCCUCAUUAAACCAUCUACAAGGAACACAUUUCUAAGUCAACUUGGUAAAUAGGGCUAUAAUAGAUGAAAAUUCCUCCAUAAAAUGGCGAUAUUAGCCAACCAAACCCAAAAAACUCUUAAUCUACAUAGUUGUCUAAGGACUAGGCCACCCCCGAACCCCCUCAAUCUUCUUCGGACCCACCUUGAUGGUCACCACGAGGCCGAAGAAUGCAACCAAAUCUAACAAAAACUCGCACUUGGAAAACAUAGCAUAUAACUUCUUCUCCCUCAGAAUCUAAAGCACGAUCCCCAAAUGAUGCUUAUGAUCCUCCCUAAUACGGGAAUAUACCAAGAUAUCAUCAAUGAAUACAAUGACAAAACAAUCCAAAUAUUGUUGAGACACACUGUUCAUCAAGUGCAUAAAAGCUACUAGAGCAUUAGUCAAACCAAAGGACAACACCAAGAACUCAUAAUGUCCAUAACUAGUCCUCAAAGUCGUAUUAGAGAUAUUCGAAGCCCUAAUCUUCAACUAGUGAUAACCUAAUCUCAAUUCAAUCUUAGAGAAUACACUGGCGCCCUGAAGCUGAUCAAACAAGUUAUCAAUACGAGGUAAUGGGUACUUGUUCUUUAUAGUAACCUUGUUCAACUGCUUGUAAUCAAUGUACAUACACAUAGAACCAUCCUUCUUCUUCACAAACAACACUGGCGCACCCCAAGAAGAAACACAGUCUAAUGAAUCCCAUAUCCAUCAACUCCUGCAAUUGCUCCGUCAAUUUCUCUAACUCAACUGGAGCCAUGCGAUCGGUGGAAUUGAUGUGGGCUGAGUGUCCGUCAUCAAAUCAAUGCCAAAAUCAAUAUUCCUAUCGGGUGACAUGAUUGGUAGAUCUGCAGGAAACACAUCUGGAAGUUCCCUCACUACUGGAAUGAAUUAAUAGUAGGAGUCUCAGUAGUAGUAUCCUUAACAAAAUCCGGGUACGCCAAACACCCUUUCUCAAUCUUCCCCGGAUCUUUCAAAAAUAAAAUAGCCCUACUAGUUGUAUGACCAAGAGAAUCCCUCCAUUCCAACCUUGGUAAUUCCGGCAUUGCCAAUGUCAUAGUCUUAGGGUGAUAAUCAAGAAUGAAAUGAUACGGAGAUAGUCAAUCCAUAUCCAAAAUCACAUUAAAAUCUAUCAUUUUCAGCAAAAAAAGGUCAACCUUAGUCUCAUAACCCCCAUCGAUGACCACACAGGAUCGAUAUACACGAUCUAUCACAAUGGAAUCCCCGAUAGGUGUAGAUACAUGAAUAGGAAUAUCAGGAGAUUCACAAGGCAUAUCUGAAUAAGAAGAAAAAUAUGAUGACACAUAUGAAUAAGUAGGCCCCAUAUUGAGCAACACAUAAGCAUCUCUAUUACAGACUGAAACUACCCAUGUGGUCACAGCAACUGAGGUUACUACCUCGGGUCUACCAGGAAAAGCAUAGCAAUGAGCCUGUCCGCGGCUGGUAGGACCUCCAAUGACCUAACCCCCUUCUUUAGAGUGACCUCUCAUUACAUAUCCUCUCCCUCUAGUUGACUAUGCAAAGGGUGAUGCAACUGGUACGGGAACCACUAACUGAGAACUUUGCGGAGUUGUGCCUUUACCACACCCGGGGCAAUACUUCCUCACAUGGUUGAUGUCUCCACACUCAUAACAACCCACGGCUGAAUGAGGUUGAUGAACUUGAAACUUCCCCUGAUGAUCGGAGUACCCACUAGGAGAACCCUAACUAGACAGAGCCUAGUACGAAUUCACUGGAAAAGCACUAAAAGAUGAUGGAACUGGAGUGCUAAAUGAUGGUCGAGAUACUACACCACGUGCUACAUGCUGAGUAGAAUAAGCUAACCUGCCAUAAUGGCCUCUAGCAAACCGACCCCCCCCCCCUUCCAGAUGAGGUACCAUUGAAACUACCACAAUGGCGAGGCCUCCUAUCCCUCAUCAUGGCCUCUCUCCCCGGAAUACAAAUACGCUUGCUCCUCUGGGCUAUCUCCUCGACAUGAUGGAAUGUAGUCCCAACCUCUAACUCUCGUUCCAUAGCAAGACUAAUGCAAUAAGUCGAACCCUCAAUAAAUAGCCUCGCCCUCUUUACCAUGAUAGGGAUCAAGAAAGCUUCAUGGCGAGAAAACUAUGUGAACCUCGCCUCAUACUCGGUCACUAACAUAUAUCCUGUUGAAGAUGCUCAAAUUGUUCUCUCAAUCCAUCCCUCCUGGUGAGUGGGAUGUACCUCUCAGGAAAUAAAUGCGAAAACUAAGUCCAUGUAAGAGGAGAUUCACCCGCUGGCUUGCCCAGCGCAUAAGUCUGCCACCAUCUCCUCGCAUCACCUCUCAGUUGAAAUGUAGUGAAGUCCACUCCAUUGGACUUUAUCAAACCCAAAUUAUAAACUAGCUUGUGACAUCUAUCUAGAAAGUCUUAAGCAACCUCUGAAGAACCACCCUCGAAGUGAGGAGGAUGUAGCCUCUGAAACCUAUCUAUUCUCUUUUACUCCUCAACAGACAUGGCAGGCACAACCUAGCCCCAACUGGCAAUAUGCCUUAAACAUUGUUGUUGGUUACUCCUGAGUAUGAGUGGCAGGGCUCUCAGCUCCCCCUCCAGCCUGAGAUAUUGGUAGGGGGAACUGGAACCACUCCAUCCAGAGUCAAGGCAUCAAUGAAACUGACCAUUUUGGCCAUAGCCUCUUGGAACCAUUGUUGAGUCAACCGACACUGCUCUAGUGCACUCACGGGCCCCAAGGGAUACUCCACAUCUAGCUGUGACUGUGCAACCCCGGGUGGGAGACUUGGCCUUACCUCGAGCCUGUCUUUCCCUAUAACCGCUGGUACUACGUCUCGCUCACCUGUUGUUGCUGAAACAUGCGUUCUCACCAUCUAUGAGAGAGUAGAAUAGAAAGAUUUAGACUUAGACAAUAUUCAACGCAUGAUAAGGAAUCAAGAAAACAAAAGUUCCUAAAUCCCUAUAGACUCUCGCAAUAGAUACUGACAUCUCUAUACCGAUCUACAAUACUCUACUAGGCUUGCUCGUGACUUGUGAGACCCUUGGAACCUAGAGUUCUGAUACCAACUUGUCAUGACCCAAAAUCCUAUCUAAGGUCGUGAUGGUGCCCAGCUCGCUUACUAGGCAAGUCAACACUUACCAACAAUAAUAGAAUCUAAUUAUUAAGUCAUUAUCAGAUUUAUGAUAUAGAUAUGAAAGCGCAACCAGUCUCAAAAUAGUAUCAUAAUAUACAUAUGUCCAUGAUAGCGUAUGAACACAACUACAACUGUUAAUCAAUGCCCAAAAUCGGGUGUAAUAAUGUUACAAGCAUCUAACAAGAGUAAAUAGUUGAUUGUAGGCAAUGAACAUGUGUUUUAGCCGCAUUCUGCACUCUAAUUACUGCACUUUGAGCGUGUUUGAGCAUAAAUGAUGGUGAUUUGUACUUAUUACGUGUUUUAUGCUUUGUAGGAGAUGAUUCCGAGUUAAGAAGAAGUUCUGAAGCUAAAUCGAAUAAUUGAAGCUUUGAAGUCUGAGUAAAAGCCAAGGAAUUAAACCGGGACCAAGUCCGGGGCUCGUGGACCGGCAUUGCAUACAAAAAUUGGAAGAAAGUGCAAGGGUUAUGACAUUUGUACUAAUGCUUCGCCCCAUGCGUAGCACAGUGCAACGCAUCAGUGCAAAUAUGCGUCAAAAAUUUGAGAAGUUCAGAGACUUGUAGUUUUUGGGUGUGACAGAAAAAUACACUAAUGCUACGCAUAGUGCGUAGCAUCAGUACAAAACUUUGUCAGACAAGCUAAGUUCAGAAAGUUUACAACCGAGCAAAUUGCACUAAUGCUACACACCCUACGUAGCAUAGUGCGACGCAUGAAGUGUAAAAAGUUUGUAGGUUUUCCCACUUCGGGUCAAAGAGGGUAGUUUUGUCCGGGUUCAUUCCUACUUGGUAUAAAUACACUAGAUACACAUUUUUAGGGGCCUUUUGACCUUGGAAGCUUUGGGAGAGCAUUGGAGCCUACAAGACACAAGAUUUCAUCAUCUUUCCAUCAAUUCAAUACGGGAGUUUGCAUUAUAGCGUUAAAUUGAUGUUUUCUUAUUCUUUAGUUAUAUUUGUGAUGACUUUCUCCGUGAUUAUGGAGUAGUUUCCCUUAGUGUUUGACGGAUAUGGUAUUUUAUUUGAUAUUUGUGGAUUUUAACUCUAGUUCUUUGCUUGAAUUCGCUUAUGGAGCUUUGAAUUGAUUGCAACUUUAUUCACCGAUUUAUUUAAUCGAAGAGGAAUAUUUUGGUGAUUAUCUUUGCAUUAUUUGGUAAAGUUUAAUUCAGUGAUUCUCUUAAAUAAUCGAAAGAGCUUGUUGAAUUGUUGAUUAAAUCAAGUUAGGAGAAUAUUCGAGAGACGUUUUCCUGAAGACUAAUCCAUUAACGCAUGCUCGCAUAUCUUCAUAGUGCUUAUAUUAGUUCACCUCGUAGAGUUAAUAUUUAAUCGAGAGAGGACUCUUGACUACACGUUUAAACUAAUCAUCAACUGAAUUCGUGAAAAUCAUUAGAACAUUAGAGUGAAUUAAACUAGAGUUGGAUCCCAAAUAGCUAUCUUGCACCUAUCCUGUCAAAACCCUUAUUUCUCACAUUGGUAAAAACUCAACUCUGCUAAUCUCUAGUUCUUUGCAGCCAAUUGUCAUUUGCUUUACUUUAGUAGUUAAUCGUAGUUCAUAAUCAUUCCAAAUCAAGUUUUGAUCAUCCUGAAUAGUAGUUAAACCAGAAAUUACUAGAGCAUUAUUUAAAUCCAAUCCAUGUGAAGAAGAUAAUUUAACUAUACUAUCUUUGGCUAGGGAGCAUUAAUUUUGGGUUGUGUUUUGCACUCGUCAAAUUUUGGCGCCGUUAUCAGGGAUUGGCAACCGAUAGUGUUCAAAUUAGUUUUUUGUUGCUAAUUCAGAAAUUUUUAUUUUAUUUUAUUUUAUUCUUCACGGGUUUCCUCUUCCAUGUGCAGCCAAUAGAUUGACUCCUUUGGUGUAUGACUUGAUCUUCUUCAAAGGAAUUGAUUCCAUACAAUCUAGAGGUGGAAAAGAGUCUACGACAGUUGAGGAAAGAGAAAGAACUCACCGAAAAAUUUUUGGGGCAACCUUUAACCAAGAACACAUGGAUAAAAAUGGUGAGGACAAAGUAGAUUUAGCUGAAAGAGAGGCAGCACAACAGAGAUAAGAAGUUGCAUGGAUAACAGCUGAGGCAUCCCGUAGAGCUGCUGAUGAGACCGUCGACGAUGAUGGGGGUCGAAGAUUCAAUCUAAAUCGACCAUUGGUUGAAGACUAGUUCGAGAAUGCGGUACCUAGGCCUGGUAGAGCACUGUGUGAUUAUGCCAGACCAGUCUACAAUUAGAGACUGUCCAGUGUCAGACCUCCACCACUAGCAGCGAAUAAUUUCGAGUUGAAGCAAGGCUUACUUCAAACUAUUCAGAACAACUGUCUUCAUAUGGAAGGUGAAUGAAGACCCUAACACUCACUUGUCAGAUUUUGAGGAAAUCAUGAACACCUUCCAGUACAAUAGAGUGUCAAAAGAUGCAGUAUAUUUAAGGGCAUUCCCCUUUUCUCUGAAGGAUAACUCAAAGCACUGGCUUCGUAGUUUACCAAUGGGGUCGAUCCGGACAUGGGAAGAUAUGAUUAAAAAGUUUCUUGACAAAUACUUCUCAACUGCUAAAACAAUGAAAUUCAGAAGGGAAAUUCACAACUUCUCCCAGAUGGACACCGAAACAUAAUGGGAUUGAAUUGUGGAUGCAACUCCAAGACUUUUAGGAGGGACUGAAACCUCCCUCACGACGAACUCUGAACACUGCAGUUGGAGGUCCUUUAAUGAAGAAGACCCCUGAGGAGAUUGUUAUAAUUCGUGAUGAGCUCUCUGAAGAUGCUAACCAGUAGCCUGCAGAGAGUAAUGAUAGAAGAAAAUCAGUUGGGGUUCAUCAAGUAGAUUCUAACACAGUAGUGCAAGCCCAACUAGACGCCAUGGCCAAAGAGAUGAGAAAGUUGACCUUAGCCAAGGUCCAGAGCCAACCAUCACCAGUUUGUGAUUUCUCUGGAAUGGGACAUCCAACGCAUAAGUGUCAGGCCUUAGCUGCAGAUGAAGUGGUAAAUGUUGUGGGAAGCUUUGACAGAGACAACUACCAGAGUGGUAAUAAUUUUAACUCUAUGGGACAGAGGCACCCAAGCUUUUCUUGGAGUUCACCAAGUGGUGGCCUGAACUCAUGGCACAAGAAUAACUCCAGAUCCCAAGGACAAGGAGCUCCAGGUUUUCAAAAUCAGUAGAGGUAGCAAUAUCAGCCUCCAAAGUCUAAUCAGUCUACCAUGGAAGAUCUAAUGAUGCCUUUAUUAUUAAGACAUAUGAGAGGCUUGAAACCCAUAGCUCGGCUAUACUAGAACAUGUCCAACUAUCAAAGAAUUGGGCACAGCCUUUCGAAACCUGGAAAGACAGGUUGGGCAACUAGCUAGUCUAUUGUCUGAGAGGGUUCCAGGGACACUCCCUGCUGACACUGAAAGAAAUCAAAAAGAGACAAUAAAUGCAGUGUUUUUAAGGAGUGGGCAUGAGUUGGAGGAUUCCAUAGCAAAUCAAAACGAUGAGCCGAUUGAAAGACAGGUGGAGAUUGUGGAAGAGCAGAAAAAUGAUAACGUGCAAAAAGGUACAGGAAUGGUAGAUGAUGGUCUGAAAAAGAAGGGGAAGAUUAGAUCUCAGAAAAAGAAGAAGGAUGAUAAUGCAACAAAUAAUGAGACAGAAGAGAAUGACAGGUGGACAAUCAUGCUCUACACCUUUCCCCUAGAAGCAAAGAAGAGAAAGGUUGAACAAAUAAUUCGGGCGCUUUCUAGAAGUGCUCAAGCAGGUGCAUGUGAAUAUACCUUUCACAGAGGAGAAUAGGGAGGUCCCGCUGAUUUUAGGAAUACCCUUCUUGGCUAUGGGUAAAAUUCUAGAUAUUCAGGAAAGGCAGCUCAUGCUCAAAGUGGGGGAUGAAAGGCUAAUCUUCAAAAUGGAAGGAGAAAGGGGCGCCAUGAAAGAGCAAAUUGGAAAGAGUGAAACUGAUAAGUGUCGGGUGUACCCAAAGAAGGCGGAAAAAAAACUCUCAGUAUGGAUGUGUGCACUCGGUCGGGUGUGCAAAGGAGAUCCCGACUUCGAUUCAAACCCCGACUAGAUGAAUCAUGGAAGUUUUCUUUACCUCUUACUUUUCAUUUGUGUGUCACAGCGGCAUGGCCACAAUUUAAAGUGUGGGGUGGGGGAUGAUGUAAAUAUGUACAUAUAUGUUUUUUAUUUCGUUCGGAAAAAAAAAAUUAAUUUUUCCCGACGAUGGAAUUCCUCAGCCGUCUUCUUGAGGGAUUAAAGUCGAAGAAAAUAUUUUAGCCAUUUAUUUUUGUUUUGUUUUCUUAGGUAGUGUAACAAUUCCCCCUUGAUUUUUCUUUGUGCCGCGGUUCUCUUCCAAGGGUUUUGUUUGAACUGGAGUAGUUAGUUUUUCUUUUAUUAGGAAUAGUGAAGUCUUGUGCUAUGAUAUUAAAUGGAGAUGACUUUUCUUGACGUUGUUGUACCUUGAGAGUAGUGAGUGCCUUAGUUGUGAUUUCUAGGCUCAGUUCUUGACUCAUGUAUAAGUGCCUUAAAUUGUUUGAUUUUGACUUUGCUUAACUGCUUUGACUAGAGAGUUAGGAUGGAUUCGAUUCUAAGUGAGUUAUGUGUCAAUGUGUGUGAGAGAUUUUGUUGAUAUUCUGUGCAUGUCGGUUGAUGUCUAGAACUUGCCCCCGUGUGUUUGCAAAGAGAAAUAGUAAUCUUGUUCAGUCUAGGAAGUGAUAUAGGCAUUUCUUUGUUGAGCUAAUUAUAUGUUUUACCCACCUAAUUAUUGUGUAUCCUAGUUAUCCCCUUUGAGCCUAUAAUCCUACUUAUUUGACAACCACACAACAAGCAUGAUCCUUGUUUGAAUUGACUAUCUAUUUGAACCUUCUACCUCUCUUGAACGCUUGAUUUUGUUAUGAGCUUGUAAAAGCUAAGUGAGGUAUGGUCGGGUUUUUGAGUGGAACUAUUGAAAAAGGAGAAAGGUGCAUUGUUGGAAAUAAUUGUGAGAGCCACUUGUAGGGAAUUGAAAGGAAAAAAAAGUGAGUUUCCUUGAAAAGAAAAAAAAUCAGAACUUAGAAAAGAAAAAAAAUGGAUUCCUUGCUAGUAGUAGUUCUCAUCUUGUUUGUGCUUAAAGAAUUGGGAGUUGAUGCUAGUAUGUAUGAAGGUUGGGAUUUGGUUCAAAAUAAGUGUGGGAUUUUAAUUUUAAAAUUGUAUGUAUUAAAGUACUUAGGGAGGUGUAGUCACUAUUAUCUAUAUGUAUCCUACUUAUCCCGCAGCUUACAUUACAACCAAAUUAAGCCAUGCUUGAUCUUUGACUGAAUGAGCUCGAAUUAGUAGAAUAUUACACUACGGGCAAGCCUAUGGUACGUUUUCUGUAGCGCAUGAAUUUUAUUUCUGAGAGUGAGUGAAUUCUCUCUAUCUUGAAUUGCUAUUUGUUCUUGAAUUUUAGUGUGUGUGGAACUACUCUCUAUCUUUAGUGUGAGGCUCACAUAAUUUGCGAAGGAAAGGUAAUGUCUUUGGCCUCUGUGUUACAGUAAGUGAGCAAGUUUUUGACAAAUACGUGGUGCUUUUGAGUCGAGCCUUGAGGCUAGGAUGUUAUGAUAGGAUGUUUGACGAAUACACACUUAAAUUAUGCUCGCUAGUUAAAUAUAGUAUAGUAUAAUAUUGUAUCCACAUGGAUUGGAUUUAAACGGUAUUUUCGUAGUUUCUAACUUGAUUGUUAUCGAGGAGAAUCAAUAAUUGAGAUUUAUAUGAUGAAUAACUAAAAUUAACUAAGAAUCUAAAGCUAUUGACUAAUGACAAUCGAAACAAGAUUAUUCGAAAUGGGAUUAUUUAUUUAAUUACAAUCGCCACUUGGGAUAAUUAAUAUGGUGUCCCAAGUCACCAAUUUAUUUUAAAAUCUCAAAUCGAGGAAAUUGACUCUGUUUAAGUCCGCGAAAAUCAGAAGAUCGGGUAAGGAAUUAUGUUAACCCGGGAGAAGAUGUGAGGCACUCCCGAAUUUCAUAAUUUUAGCACGGCCGCUUUAAUCAUACCUGGCUUAAUUAAUUAUUUAAUUACGUGUUUUAGAACCUAUGUGCAUUUUAUCUUUCACCGCUUUUAAAUUACUUGAUUAUGGCGUUAUGGAAUUAUCUUGAAACGAACCACGUGUGUGUGAAUCCGUUUUAUUUAGUGCGCUAAAAAUCAUGCCACGCGUACGUGUACACAAUUAAUAACACUUUAUUAUUAUAAAGAUCGUUUCGCUCAAAGUUGCGUGAACGCAUACUUCGAUUUUAGUUUGGGAAUUAUGGUCAUGUCACGCGAACGUAUAAAUAAUCACGAUGAUUGAUUUAACUAAUAGCGUGCCUAAAGCAUACUAAUCGUAUUCAUAAUUUACUUAAGAUUAUUGUGAGGCCAAGAAUUAUGGACAAGAUAUUAUUUUGGAAGAAAUGAAGUAAACUAGUUAAGGAAAGGUGGGCUAGCUUAUUCAAUUAUUUCUCGUGGGCCUUAAAGAAUUCAUCUUAUUUGGCCCAAAUUUAUUCAAGACCUCAAAUCUGACCUCUCAAGUCCAGUGAACACCCGGCCCAAGUAAGUUAACAAAUAAUAGUCUAAUUACUGCUUUUGACCCAAAUCUCUUCUACAUCACCUAAGACCCAACAAAUUGUCUUAAAGAAAAUGGCCCAUCCUAUUCCCCAAACCAAAGGAAAAUCUCAAUUCUAAUUCUCUCUCAAAUAUCAAAAUAAUGCAAUUUAGCCAUAUCACACAAUUGAUCGGAAAAGACAACAAUCAAACAGAUUAGAAAGGGAAAUUAUUAAGCUAUCGGAAUAUCAUGCUCACAUUAGCUUGUAAGUGGACAAAUUCAUAGUUUCAAGCAUUCAUUAAUCUAGUUUCAAAUAAAAUAAACAAAUCAAAAGAGCAAACAAAGCAAUCAAAAGAGAAUAACCAGAGAAACAAUAUUUUAACAAAUCACAAAAAAGAAAAUAUCUAAUUAAAGAGAAACAACAGCAGUAAUUAAGAAAUGGAACUUCAGAGCAUAAGGUGAAGAAAAUGGACCUUCAUAUUAAAUUGCUUCAAACAACAAAGCUGGACUAAAUUUGGACAUUUAAUAGGGAACGACACUCGACCAAAAUCAACGGAGGGAGCUUGAACUCGACCUCGACGACUCAACUUUAGAGCUCGAACUCAUCUCGUUUUGCCGCAUUUUUUGGGGGCUGCUUGGGGUGUUUCAGAGCUGGUCUUUGACUGGGAUUUUGGGGUCGUUUUGGGUAGAAGAAGGCAGCUGGGUUUUGGUAGUUUUGAUGGGUGUUUCAGCUGGUGUUUUGGCUGGAUUAAAGGGAUGUUUUCGUGAUGAAAACGACGUGAAGAAGAUGAGGUUUUGAUGAGGACUUACUGCUUUACUGCUGUGUUUUGGGUGUUAAAGGGUGUAUUUUAGGUGCUGAUUUUGGGGGUUAGUUGUGCUGGUUUUCAGUGGUUAAAGGUGGCCUUACAUAGCUGAAAAUGGAGGAAAGAAAAUAGUGAUUUUAGGCGGAGGAAAAUGGUGAUCUAUGGUGGUCUUUGGGUGGAAGAAAAUGGAGUAAUAGUGGCUGUAUUUUUUGUGUUCAAUGACGGAAGGGAAAUGAAGGAGAUGAUGUUGGUUCAAGCUUUGUUGAAAGUUUUUCUUUUCUUCGCCUUUCCCGUUCCUUUCUCUUUUUCUGUUUUUUUGCUCCUCCCAGAACAGCUUUUUUAUCCACUCCCUCUGUUUUCCGUUUCUUCUCCACUCCGGUUGUUCUCCUUUUUUUGUGUGUG